GGAGAUUCCGGUUCUACUUGUUGAAGAGAUGUCAUAAAGAUUGUUAUACAUUAGGGACUACAGCCUCGUUCCUCCUGGUAAACAUGGGUCUGUGAGUAUUUGGGGGAUUUUGUUCCAGAAGAAACCUUAACAUUCAACAUGUGACUCCACGAGGCUCCUUAGUUCUGAACACAUGUGACCAGUGACUUGAAAGUGGGUGAGAGCCUCGAGGCCUGGCUGUGAGGCUACAGGGCAACAAUUUCCUUGCCUGCUGAAAUAAGAAAUAAGAAAAUAAGAAAUAAGAAAGCAGACUUUUCUGCACAAGCCAACGUUGCCAAACAGGGAUAUAACAUCAACACUCGCUCACAGCACCAAGCUACCCCUUUGGAGGAAGUCCAGAGAAAUGUAACAGAAGAAGAAGAAGAAGAAGAAGAAGAAGAAGAAGAAGAAGAAGAAGAACCCAACAGCCCCCAGAUGUAGGACCAUCUUCCCAGAGGUAUAAAAUGAGGCUUCAAAGCUGAUACAAAUUCAAGAAUCUAUGAGCCAAGGAUCUAUGAUCUCUGUAGUUUGUAUGAAAGGGUCCUGGUUAUUAAUUACUUGAAAGAAGGUCUUGAAGGCACCAACGACACGGCUUAAAUUAAAUUUUGGUCUUAGAUUCUCUUGAAAGUUGUC
RNAcentral lists this long non-coding RNA (651 nucleotides) under Mus spicilegus (steppe mouse). RNAcentral describes it as "lncRNA (ENSMSIG00000021057.1)". Lineage: Eukaryota; Metazoa; Chordata; Mammalia; Rodentia; Muridae. The record is from RNAcentral.